UGUCUUGGAGCAUUGCAAGUAUUUUUGGUGUUUCUUGGAGUAUUGCAAGUAGCUGUGGACUGGCCUUGCUGUUUGUGUUACCAAGCUGGCGAGGUGACAAGUGGCAGAGCCAGGUUCAACAGAAGGCGCAACAUGCCCGCCACUUGGCUGCUCUUCUGUGCCAGGAGCUGGCAGACGGUGAAGGCACCAUAUGUCCUCACAAGGAAGACACCGGCGAGGUUGAGGAGGAACCCAUGCUCGUGGACGAUUGGGACGAACUAUGGUGCGAAUCCUUACUCAUACCGACAGCAUCUUUGGACGCAGCACACACCAUGGUCAGGCUCGGUUUGUGCACUCACUGCCACAGGCGGAGAAACAGGACAGAACGCAUGGGAAGGACAAGCCAAUCUGUGAGGAUCUCGCUUACAGACAGGAUGACUUACGCCAUUGCUACCAACAAAGAACUGAAGAAAAGUGCACCUGAACCCCCAGCUCUACCACCGAGUCAUCCUGAACCUAAGAGCGAGGGUCUUGCUUGGCUUGGUAGGGCAACAGCAACUCCAGCAUGCAAGGAUCUGACAUGGGUGACAGGGGCACCUGCCAAGCCUGUGGUCAGCCAGCCAAGCCGCUCUUCGACAAAGGAUCCUCUGCUUCAUGUACCCAAGGAUGUGACUAGUCACGUGUACAGGAUAUGCACACCGUGCCCUGUGCAGAUCACCACACUCUGGUUGCAUUGCUUUAUCUCUCACAUGGUGGUGCUUGCCGGGAUCACCACCUCCACUAUAAAGAAAUUCGCACACCCAGAGCAUCCAAAAGAAGACCUUCAUCUGGGAACUCGAUAAAGCAGGUUUCUUACAGCAUCUCUUAUAGAAACGAAAGUCUGGAUCCACGGAAACACGCGUCUUUCAUCCACCAUCUGCUCCAGGGUGACCAAGCACGUAACGGAUAUAAUGACCUGCCGAGCGUCGGUCAGCUUUCCGCUUCACCCACGUGGAUUUGAUCUGAAAAUGACUUCCUGAUCGAUUUUACUUAUUUAUUUCUUUUUUGUACUGGGAUUCUUACUUUUCCAGUUCAGCCAAGCGGUGCGUUUCACCACCGUCGUGAUCACUGCCAAUAUAUGAAUAAAUUGGCAUUUCCCUUCUGAUCUAGCCGAAUGGAUUCACAUGUUUUCAUAGAUCACUCUUUUAUCCUUGUAAAUAAUUGAUGAAACACUUUCUGGGGCAGGAUAUAACAACAUUAAAUAUUGAUAAGAUGUGGUGAAAUUUCCAUGUCUCUAUUUUGAGAGGGGCUCAUGGAAGUUAAGAAAUUACAUUAAUUUGAUCAUAUCCCACUACAGGCUUACUAUUUAACUGGUCAACUUAAGAAGGGAAUCCGAGACCAAAGAAGGUGAUAAUGGCACAGGUCCAUGACUUCUUGUGGUCGAAACGGUUACCAUUUUCUACAAUGGCUAACCUGAAACCCUCUGUCUUUGACAGAACAUUUCACAAGAUAUGGCAAUGGAAUGAUGGGGUUUCCAGAAAUUAUUAUUGCCAAAUGUAUUUGUAUUUUCUCAUGAGGCCAUCAAAAAUGGGUCUCGCUGAUUAUGUAUCACUCGGGCUAUGAGGAUACGUUUAGAUAUGGACGCUCGCUUGUUAGCUAUUUAGCCUGGCUUCAAACGUCGAUCAAGCUAUAAGCUGUCACCCUGGUGUCUUGCAUUGAUAUGUGUGCUACGUCCAUCGGACAUUGAGCCAGACGACCUGAUUCCCAUCACUGGUUGAUGGUGGGAUGUUAAAGAUCCCUGUUAUCACCAGCACCGUGAAUAAAUUACAAAUUCCUCCCCAAAUCGUCUGCUGUCUAACGUCAGGCUUGGCUAGCUGGUUCAUUAAAAAAAAUUGUGGAAAAAAUCAUUUCCAGACAAACUCCACGGGAAUGUGGGAUUACUCGGGGCCGUUCAAGAAGUAGGAGAGUCGUGUAGCACGGCUUAAAAAAAAAAUGUUCCAC
Eptatretus burgeri (inshore hagfish) is the source of this 1959-nucleotide long non-coding RNA. Lineage: Eukaryota; Metazoa; Chordata; Myxini; Myxiniformes; Myxinidae. The record is from Ensembl.